This 190-nucleotide ribosomal RNA is filed under the name uncultured Syndiniales. Its description in RNAcentral is "partial 18S ribosomal RNA". It matches the Rfam family "Eukaryotic small subunit ribosomal RNA", at positions 65 to 255 of the family's 1831-position model. The record is from RNAcentral. Lineage: Eukaryota; Dinophyceae; Syndiniales.
AUAAGUGUUUCACUGCGAAACUGCGAAUGGGUCAUUAAAACAGUUAUAGUUUCCAUGUCAGUUGUUUAUUACCUGGAUAUCCCCGGUAAUUCUAGAGCUAAAACAUGCGUCCAAACCCGACUUUUGCGGAAGGGUUGUGCUUAUUAAACACUGAACCAUCCCGGGUUUCCCGGUUUCGAGUUGAUUGAUG